RNAcentral lists this transfer RNA (401 nucleotides) under Raphidiopsis curvata CHAB3415. RNAcentral's name for it is "partial 16S-23S ribosomal RNA intergenic spacer". The stretch from base 201 to 273 matches the Rfam family "tRNA". The record is from RNAcentral. RNAcentral also lists the same sequence under 1 other name. Lineage: Bacteria; Bacillati; Cyanobacteriota; Cyanophyceae; Nostocales; Aphanizomenonaceae.
UAGGGAGACCUACCCAUUGAAGAAUCGAAAGCCGCAGGCGAAUAGAGAAUCAACUGGUCUACUCUAGGUCGGUGACGUGAGAUUGUGAAGUCUUUCAAACUAAUAUUUGGUUCGCGAGAGGGCUAUUAGCUCAGGUGGUUAGAGCGCACCCCUGAUAAGGGUGAGGUCCCUGGUUCGAGUCCAGGAUGGCCCACCUGAAUGGGGGUUUAGCUCAGCUGGUAGAGCGCCUGCUUUGCAAGCAGGAUGUCAGCGGUUCGAGUCCGCUAACCUCCACAUUAGGAAGAAACUAGCAACUAGGGAAGACCUAGACUGCUGGUGGAAACCAGCCAGAACCUUGAAAACUGCAUAUAGAUAGAUAAGAGAGCCGAAAUCGAAAGAUAGAAGCAAGUGAAAAACCAAGU